RNAcentral lists this ribosomal RNA (774 nucleotides) under Staphylococcus cohnii. Its description in RNAcentral is "bacterial SSU rRNA". It matches the Rfam family "Bacterial small subunit ribosomal RNA", at positions 123 to 883 of the family's 1533-position model. Lineage: Bacteria; Bacillati; Bacillota; Bacilli; Caryophanales; Staphylococcaceae. The record is from RNAcentral.
AACCUACCUAUAAGACUGGAAUAACUCCGGGAAACCGGGGCUAAUGCCGGAUAACAUUUAGAACCGCAUGGUUCUAAAGUGAAAGAUGGUUUUGCUAUCACUUAUAGAUGGACCCGCGCCGUAUUAGCUAGUUGGUAAGGUAACGGCUUACCAAGGCAACGAUACGUAGCCGACCUGAGAGGGUGAUCGGCCACACUGGAACUGAGACACGGUCCAGACUCCUACGGGAGGCAGCAGUAGGGAAUCUUCCGCAAUGGGCGAAAGCCUGACGGAGCAACGCCGCGUGAGUGAUGAAGGUCUUCGGAUCGUAAAACUCUGUUAUUAGGGAAGAACAAAUGUGUAAGUAACUGUGCACGUCUUGACGGUACCUAAUCAGAAAGCCACGGCUAACUACGUGCCAGCAGCCGCGGUAAUACGUAGGUGGCAAGCGUUAUCCGGAAUUAUUGGGCGUAAAGCGCGCGUAGGCGGUUUCUUAAGUCUGAUGUGAAAGCCCACGGCUCAACCGUGGAGGGUCAUUGGAAACUGGGAAACUUGAGUGCAGAAGAGGAAAGUGGAAUUCCAUGUGUAGCGGUGAAAUGCGCAGAGAUAUGGAGGAACACCAGUGGCGAAGGCGACUUUCUGGUCUGUAACUGACGCUGAUGUGCGAAAGCGUGGGGAUCAAACAGGAUUAGAUACCCUGGUAGUCCACGCCGUAAACGAUGAGUGCUAAGUGUUAGGGGGUUUCCGCCCCUUAGUGCUGCAGCUAACGCAUUAAGCACUCCGCCUGGGGAGUAC